CGGAGGAAAAGAAACUAACAAGGAUUCCCCUAGUAACGGCGAGUGAAGCGGGAAGAGCUCAAAUUUGAAAUCUGGUGGCCUCAGGUCAUCCGAGUUGUAAUCUAUAGAAGUGUUUUCCGUGCUGGCUCAUGUACAAGUCCCUUGGAACAGGGCGUCAUAGAGGGUGAGAAUCCCGUCCUUGACAUGAACUACCAGUGCUCUGUGAUACAUUUUCAACGAGUCGAGUUGUUUGGGAAUGCAGCUCAAAAUGGGUGGUAAAUUCCAUCUAAAGCUAAAUAUUGGCGAGAGACCGAUAGCGAACAAGUACCGUGAGGGAAAGAUGAAAAGCACUUUGGAAAGAGAGUUAAACAGUAUGUGAAAUUGUUGAAAGGGAAACGAUUGAAGUCAGUCGUGCUCUUUGGAUUCAGCCGGUUCUGCCGGUGUACUUCCUUUGAGUGGGGUCAACAUCAGUUUUGAUCGCUGGAUAAAGGCUGGAGGAACGUAGUACCCUCGGGUAAACUUAUAGCCUCCUGUCACAUACAGUGGUUGGGACUGAGGAACGCAGCACGCCUUUAUGGCCGGGAUUCGUCCACGUACGUGCUUAGGAUGUUGACAUAAUGGCUUUAAACGACCCGUCUUG
Molecule: ribosomal RNA, 619 nt
Filed under: Filobasidium elegans
Lineage: Eukaryota; Fungi; Basidiomycota; Tremellomycetes; Filobasidiales; Filobasidiaceae
Description: eukaryotic LSU rRNA
Rfam family: Eukaryotic large subunit ribosomal RNA
Source: RNAcentral